Molecule: unclassified non-coding RNA, 149 nt
Filed under: uncultured fungus
Lineage: Eukaryota; Fungi
Description: sequence contains ITS1, 5.8S rRNA gene
Source: RNAcentral
UUGAAAUAGAAGACCCACUCGUUGGGCUUCAACCUUUCAAAUUCAAACACAAUGUGCACUGUCUAGAUGAACGCCACCCUUCAGGGUGUGGCUACUAGUCUUCCUUUUUUCAAAACACAAGUCAAUGUAUGUAAUAACAUAUAACAAUA